AGUGAACGCUGGCGGUAGGCCUAACACAUGCAAGUCGAACGGCAGCACAGUAAUAGCUUGCUCUUACGGGUGGCGAGUGGCGGACGGGUGAGGAAUACAUCGGAAUCUACUUUUUCGUGGGGGAUAACGUAGGGAAACUUACGCUAAUACCGCAUACGACCUACGGGUGAAUGCAGGGGAUCUUCGGACCUUGCGCGAUUGAAUGAGCCGAUGUCGGAUUAGCUAGUUGGCGGGGUAAAGGCCCACCAAGGCGACGAUCCGUAGCUGGUCUGAGAGGAUGAUCAGCCACACUGGAACUGAGACACGGUCCAGACUCCUACGGGAGGCAGCAGUGGGGAAUAUUGGACAAUGGGCGCAAGCCUGAUCCAGCCAUACCGCGUGGGUGAAGAAGGCCUUCGGGUUGUAAAGCCCUUUUGUUGGGAAAGAAAAGCAGCAGGUUAAUACCCCGCUGUUCUGACGGUACCAAAAGAAUAAGCACCGGCUAACUUCGUG
This 492-nucleotide ribosomal RNA is filed under the name uncultured bacterium. RNAcentral describes it as "partial 16S ribosomal RNA". It matches the Rfam family "Bacterial small subunit ribosomal RNA", at positions 29 to 507 of the family's 1533-position model. The record is from RNAcentral.